RNAcentral lists this ribosomal RNA (292 nucleotides) under uncultured Acidobacteriota bacterium. RNAcentral's name for it is "uncultured Acidobacteria bacterium partial 16S ribosomal RNA". Lineage: Bacteria; Pseudomonadati; Acidobacteriota. The record is from RNAcentral.
GGACUACAGGGGUAUCUAAUCCCGUUUGCUACCCUAGCUUUCGCGCCUCAGCGUCAAGAGCAGGCCAGAAAGCCGCCUUCGCCACUGGUGUUCCUCCCGAUAUCUACGCAUUUCACCACUACACCGGGAAUUCCGCUUCCCUCUCCUGCCUUCGAGUCGAUCAGUAUCGAAUGACCCUCCCCAGUUGAGCCGGGGGCUUUCACAUUCGACUUGAACGACCGCCUGCGCGCUCUUUACGCCCAGUAAAUCCGGACAACGCUAGCCACCUACGUAUUACCGCGGCUGCUGGCAC